AUUAGACCCGAUCCCAACUUAAUCUUUCUUUAUUAUCAGGAUAUGUACCACAGUCCUUUAAAGUAGCUGUAAUUAAACCCCUUCUUAAAAAGUCCACUCUUGACCCAGGGGUUUUAGCCAACUAUAGACCGAUUUCUAACCUCCCCUUCCUCUCUAAGAUUCUGGAGAAAGUAGUCGCCAAAGAGUUGUGUGACUUUCUACAUAACAAUAGUUUAUUUGAGGAUUUUCAGUCAGGAUUUAGAGUUCAUCAUAGCACAGAGACAGCUCUGGUUAAAGUUAAUAAUGACCUUCUGACUGCUUCUGACAAUGGACUUGUCUCUGUACUUGUAUUAUUAGAUCUUAGUGCUGCAUUUGACACCAUUGACCAUAAUAUUCUUUUACAGAGACUUGAGCAUCAAAUUGGCAUUAAAGGAACCGCACUAAGCUGGUUUAAGUCAUAUUUAUCAGAUCGCUCGCAGUUUGUACAUGUUAACGAUGAAUCUUCAAUAAAUACUACAGUUAGUCAUGGAGUUCCACAAGGUUCUGUACUUGGACCAAUACUAUUUACUUAAUAUAUGCUCCCUUUAGGCAACAUUAUUAGGAAUCACUCCAUUAACUUUCACUGUUAUGCAGAUGAUACGCAGUUAUAUCUAUCAAUCAAGCCCAAUGAAAUUAAUCAAUUAUCUAAAUUACAAACAUGUCUUAAGGACAUAAAAUCCUCGAUGAUCUGCAAUUUUCUGAUGUUAAACUCAGAAAAAAACGAAAUUCUUGUUCUUGGCCCCAAAAACCUUAGAGACUCAUUGUCUAAAGAUAUAGUUACUCUAGAUGGCAUUAACUUGGCCUCUAGCACCACUGUCAGGAAUCUUGGAGUUAUCUUUGAUCAGGAUUUGUCAUUUAACUCCCACAUAAAGCAGACCUCUAGGACCGCCUUCUUUCAUUUACGUAAUAUUAGAAAAAUUAGACACAUACUAUCACAGACAGAUGCAGAAAAACUAAUCCAUGCAUUUGUUACUUCAAGGCUGGAUUACUGCAACUCUUUAUUAUCAGGUUGCCCCAAUAAGUCCAUUAAAACGCUCCAAUUAAUUCAGAACGCUGCAGCACGAGUACUGACAGGAACUAGAAAAAGAGAUCACAUCUCUCCUGUACUAGCUUCUCUGCAUUGGCUCCCUGUAAAAUGUAGAAUUGAAUUUAAAAUCCUCCUCCUCACCAAUAAAGCUCUUCAUGGUCAGGCCCCUUCGUAUCUUAAAGAGCUCAUAGUACCCUAUUACCCCUCUAGAACACUACGUUCUCUGAAUGCUGGGCUACUUGUGGUUCCUAUAGUCUCUAAAAGUAGAACAGGAGCCAGAGCCUUCAGUUACCAAGCUCCUCUCCUGUGGAACCAGCUUCCAGUUGUGGUUCGGGAGGCAGACACCCUCACCACAUUCAAGAGUAGGCUUAAGACAUUCCUCUUUGAUAAAGCUUAUAGUUAGGGCUGGAUCAGGUGAGUCCUGAACCAUCCCUUAGUUAUGCUGCUAUAGGCCUAGACUAUCGGGGGAUUUCCCAUGGUGCACUGAGCUACUCUCUUCCUCUCUCUUUCUGCACUCAUUCAUGUCCCAUUAAUGCAUGUUACUAACUCCACUUCUUCCCCGGAGUUCUUGUGCUUUCUCGUCUCGCAGGUUCUCAUGGAUCCUGGUGGAGCCUCCUGCCAUGGUCCUGCUUGACUGCCAUUGCCAAUACUGUUGUUGCUGUGCACCUGUCUGUCUGUCUGUCUCUCGCUCUCUCUCUCUCUGCCUCUCUCUCUCUCUCUCUCACCCCAACUGGUCGAGACAGACGACCACCCACCUAGAGCCGGAGGAUCUGUCCUAGGUUUCUGCCUUUUAACAGGCAGUGUUUCCUUGCCCUUGUCGCCAAGUGCUUGCUCAUGGUGGUACUGUUGGGUCUCUGUAAUUAAUGUUAAAGAGUUCGGUCUAGACCUGCUCUAUUUGAAAAGUGUCCUGAGAUAACUUCUGUUAUGAAUUGGCGCUAUACAAAUAAAAUUGAAUUGAAUUGAA
This is a long non-coding RNA of Dicentrarchus labrax (European seabass), 2009 nucleotides long. RefSeq lists it as uncharacterized. The transcript has 2 exons. The record is from RefSeq and is a predicted model, not a curated record. Lineage: Eukaryota; Metazoa; Chordata; Actinopteri; Moronidae.